ACAUGUAUGGUACAAACAGUUAAUGCUUUUGGCUGCUAACCAAAAGAUUGGUGGUUCGAGUCCACCCAGAAGCA
RNAcentral lists this transfer RNA (74 nucleotides) under Loxodonta africana (African savanna elephant). It matches the Rfam family "tRNA". From Rfam's summary of the family: Transfer RNA (tRNA) molecules are approximately 80 nucleotides in length. Lineage: Eukaryota; Metazoa; Chordata; Mammalia; Proboscidea; Elephantidae. The record is from Rfam by way of RNAcentral.